CGGAAAGAAAGGGAUUCGAC
This 20-nucleotide transfer RNA is filed under the name Dendrocyathophorum decolyi. Its description in RNAcentral is "partial tRNA-Ser". RNAcentral also lists the same sequence under 2 other names. Lineage: Eukaryota; Viridiplantae; Streptophyta; Bryopsida; Hookeriales; Hypopterygiaceae. The record is from RNAcentral.